AGUGAACGCUGGCGGUAGGCCUAACACAUGCAAGUCGAACGGCAGCACAGUAAGAGCUUGCUCUUACGGGUGGCGAGUGGCGGACGGGUGAGGAAUACAUCGGAAUCUACUUUUUCGUGGGGGAUAACGUAGGGAAACUUACGCUAAUACCGCAUACGACCUACGGGUGAAAGCAGGGGAUCUUCGGACCUUGCGCGAUUGAAUGAGCCGAUGUCGGAUUAGCUAGUUGGCGGGGUAAAGGCCCACCAAGGCGACGAUCCGUAGCUGGUCUGAGAGGAUGAUCAGCCACACUGGAACUGAGACACGGUCCAGACUCCUACGGGAGGCAGCAGUGGGGAAUAUUGGACAAUGGGCGCAAGCCUGAUCCAGCCAUACCGCGUGGGUGAAGAAGGCCUUCGGGUUGUAAAGCCCUUUUGUUGGGAAAGAAAAGCAGCAGGUUAAAACCCCGAUGUUCUGACGGUACCCAAAGAAUAAGCACCGGCUAACUUCGUG
Molecule: ribosomal RNA, 492 nt
Filed under: uncultured bacterium
Lineage: Bacteria
Description: partial 16S ribosomal RNA
Rfam family: Bacterial small subunit ribosomal RNA
Source: RNAcentral